GAGGAUAUAGCUCAGUUGGUAGAGUGUGUGCCUAUAUGCACAAGGACCAGGGUCCAAUCCCCAGCACUACA
RNAcentral lists this transfer RNA (71 nucleotides) under Marmota monax (woodchuck). Its description in RNAcentral is "tRNA.Undet". The record is from RNAcentral. Lineage: Eukaryota; Metazoa; Chordata; Mammalia; Rodentia; Sciuridae.